UAUGGCCAUAUCAUGUUGAAACACGAGUUCUUGCAAGAUCACCAAACUUAAGCAAUUAAGAACCUUGUCAGUACUUAGAUGGGUGACCACUUGGGAAUAUCAGGUGCUGUAAG
Molecule: non-coding RNA, 113 nt
Organism: Acanthosepion pharaonis
Lineage: Eukaryota; Metazoa; Mollusca; Cephalopoda; Sepiida; Sepiidae
Source: the annotation of a GenBank genome assembly